GCGGAUAUAGAUGAAUUGGUACAUCAGUGAUUUUCCACGUCAAAGGCUAUGGGUUCGAGACCCAUUAUCCGCU
RNAcentral lists this transfer RNA (73 nucleotides) under Porphyra umbilicalis (laver). RNAcentral describes it as "tRNA-Gly". It matches the Rfam family "tRNA". From Rfam's summary of the family: Transfer RNA (tRNA) molecules are approximately 80 nucleotides in length. Their secondary structure includes four short double-helical elements and three loops (D, anti-codon, and T loops). The record is from RNAcentral. Lineage: Eukaryota; Rhodophyta; Bangiophyceae; Bangiales; Bangiaceae.